Molecule: ribosomal RNA, 439 nt
Filed under: uncultured bacterium
Lineage: Bacteria
Description: partial 16S ribosomal RNA
Rfam family: Bacterial small subunit ribosomal RNA
Source: RNAcentral
CUACGGGCUGCUGCAGUGAGGAAUAUUGCACAAUGGGGGGAACCCUGAUGCAGCAACGCCGCGUGGAGGAUGACGCAUUUCGGUGUGGAAAAGGGGGUUAUAUGUCAAGAAAAUGACGGUAGCAUAUGAAUAAGCACCGGCUAACUCCGUGCCAGCAGCCGCGGUAAUACGGAGGGUGCAAGCGUUACUCGGAAUCACUGGGCGUAAAGGACGCGUAGGCGGGUUGGAAAGUCAGGUGUGAAAUCCUACAGCUUAACUGUAGAACUGCACUUGAAACUUCUAAUCUAGAGUAUGGGAGGGGGAGAUGGAAUUAGUGGUGUAGGGGUAAAAUCCGUAGAUAUCACUAGGAAUACCUAAAGCGAAGGCGAUCUCCUGGAACAUUACUGACGCUAGGGCGUGAAAGCGUGGGGAGCAAACAGGAUUAGAUACCCCUGUAGUC